UAUCUUUGUUUUUGUAUUGGUGUUACAAGUCCGCAUUUGCCGGAUAGUAAUGAAAAGGGAAUCAGGUGUAAAUCCUGAACAGUCGCGCUGCUGUAAACUCAUGUAAGCGUUUAUACAAAUCCUCAAGCCACUGUUGUGAAAAACGGGAAGGUCGUAUAAACGGGAGUAAGUCAGAAGACCUGCCAAAGCAUAUAUUUUCAU
Molecule: non-coding RNA, 201 nt
Filed under: Dysgonomonas gade
Lineage: Bacteria; Pseudomonadati; Bacteroidota; Bacteroidia; Bacteroidales; Dysgonomonadaceae
Also listed under: 1 other name
Source: RNAcentral